GGGCCCGUAGAUCAGCCUGGUAGAUCGUUCGCUUGGCAUGCGAGAGGCCUCGGGUUCAAAUCCCGACGGGUCCA
Molecule: transfer RNA, 74 nt
Filed under: Candidatus Altarchaeales archaeon ex4484_2
Lineage: Archaea; Nanobdellati; Candidatus Altarchaeota; Candidatus Altarchaeia; Candidatus Altarchaeales
Also listed under: 1 other name
Description: Candidatus Altiarchaeales archaeon ex4484_2 tRNA-Ala
Rfam family: tRNA
About the family: Transfer RNA (tRNA) molecules are approximately 80 nucleotides in length. Their secondary structure includes four short double-helical elements and three loops (D, anti-codon, and T loops).
Source: RNAcentral